Molecule: long non-coding RNA, 1230 nt
Filed under: Anolis carolinensis (green anole)
Lineage: Eukaryota; Metazoa; Chordata; Lepidosauria; Squamata; Anolidae
Description: lncRNA (ENSACAG00000038476.1)
Source: RNAcentral
GGCUCAACCAUAACAGUUCAUUGUGCUGAGGAGCAAGUAGGUCACAGUAGAUCCCUCAACAAUAUAUGUUCUAUAUAUAAUUGUUCACUUAUUCAAUCAGUUCAUUGUGCUGAGGAGCAAGUAGGUCACAGUAGAUCCCUCAACAAUAUAUGUUCUAUAUAUAAUUGUUCACUUAUUCAAUCAGUUUAUUGUGCUGAGGAGCAAGUGGGUCACAGUAGAUCCCUCAACAAUAUAUGUUCUAUAUAUAAUUGUUCACUUAUUCAAUCAGUUCAUUGUGCUGAGGAGCAAGUAGGUCACAGUAGAUCCCUCAACAAUAUAUGUUCUAUAUAUAAUUGUUCACUUAUUCAAUCAGUUCAUUGCGCUGAGGAGCAAGUGGGUCACAGUAGAUCCCUCAACAAUAUAUGUUCUAUAUAUAAUUGUUCACUUAUUCAAUCAGUUCAUUGCGCUGAGGAGCAAGUAGGUCACAGUAGAUCCCUCAACAAUAUAUGUUCUAUAUAUAAUUGUUCACUUAUUCAAUCAGUUCAUUGCGCUGAAGAGCAAGUAGGUCACAGUAGAUCCCUCAACAAUAUAUGUUCUAUAUAUAAUUGUUCACUUAUUCAAUCAGUUCAUUGCGCUGAAGAGCAAGUAGGUCACAGUAGAUCCCUCAACAAUAUAUGUUCUAUAUAUAAUUGUUCACUUAUUCAAUCAGUUCAUUUUGCUGAAGAGCAAGUAGGUCACAGUAGAUCCCUCAACAAUAUAUGUUCUAUAUAUAAUUGUUCACUUAUUCAAUCAGUUCAUUGUGCUGAAGAGCAAGUAGGUCACAGUAGAUCCCUCAACAAUAUAUGUUCUAUAUAUAAUUGUUCACUUAUUCAAUCAGUUCAUUGUGCUGAGGAGCAAGUAGGUCACAGUAGAUCCCUCAACAAUAUAUGUUCUAUAUAUAAUUGUUCACUUAUUCAAUCAGUUCAUUGUGCUGAAGAGCAAGUAGGUCACAGUAGAUCCCUCAACAAUAUAUGUUCUAUAUAUAAUUGUUCACUUAUUCAAUCAGUUCGUUGUGCUGAAGAGCAAGUAGGUCACAGUAGAUCCCUCAACAAUAUAUGUUCUAUAUAUAAUUGUUCACUUAUUCAAUCAGUUCAUUGCGCUGAAGAGCAAGUAGGUCACAGUAGAUCCCUCAACAAUAUAUGUUCUAUAUAUAAUUGUUCACUUAUUCAAUCAGUUCAUUGUGCUGAAGAGCAAGUAGGUCACAGUAGAUCC